This 633-nucleotide long non-coding RNA is filed under the name Malus domestica (apple). Its description in RNAcentral is "long non-coding RNA (MDOM_LNC005660)". Lineage: Eukaryota; Viridiplantae; Streptophyta; Magnoliopsida; Rosales; Rosaceae. The record is from RNAcentral.
CCAUUCAUGCCACCAAUCAGGUGAUGAAAUGUACAACCCGUACUCUAAAUUGGCAACUAGCCAUUCAUGCCACCAACCAGGUGAUGAGAUGUACAACCCGUAGUCUAAUUUGGCAACUAGCCAUUCAUGCCACCAAUCAGGUGAUGAAAUGUACAACUCGUACUCUAAAUUGGCAACUAGUCAUUCAUGCCACCAACCAGGCAAUGAAAUGUACAACCCGUACUCUCCUUCAUGCCACCAACCAGGUGAUCAAAAGUACGCCCAGUACUUCAAAUUAUACAUGAGCAUUACUCAUGUCAUUCAUACAUAAACAUUCAUGAGCAUCACUCAUGACAAUCAUACAUAAACAUUCAUGACCAUCAUUCAUGUCAACAUUCAUGAGCAUCACUCAUGUUAACAUUCAUGAGCAUCACUCAUGACAAUAUCCAUGAGCAUCACUCAUGUCAAUCAACAUAAACAUUCAUGAGCAUCACUCAUGUUAAUCAGCUUCAAAAGCUUCAUUUACAGAGUUCUAGCUUCAAAAACUUCAUUUACAAAAGCUCCAGCUUCGAAAGCUUCAUUUACAGAGCUCUAGCUUCAAAGCUUCACCUGCAAAGCUUCACCUACAAAGCUUCAGUGCAAGGUAUACAAAUA